Molecule: long non-coding RNA, 644 nt
Organism: Lagopus muta (rock ptarmigan)
Lineage: Eukaryota; Metazoa; Chordata; Aves; Galliformes; Phasianidae
Exons: 3
Source: RefSeq, a predicted model, not a curated record
AAGAACUAUGGAAAAAUAGAUGCUUUGUUCAGAGUAAAUCUUUUGUUUCACUUCACAUUUUUAGUAGAGUACUCAAAAAGCUGGCUGAUAUUCUUGCAGAACCUCUCAAUUACUUUUCAAUUAUCAUGGGAAUCUGGAGAGGACCCAGCUGACUGGAAGCUGACAAACAUCCUCUCCACUGUAAGCCGUUCUAUGAUUUUUUCAAGAGGAGCAAGAAAGAUGACCCUAGGAUUCUGAUUGAUAACAAGCUCAAUCUGAGAGAGUAGUGUGCUCUAGGAGCCAAAAGGUUAAAUUGUGCUCUCAAGUGCAUCAGGUACAACACUGCCAGCUGAGUGAGGGAAGGAACUGUCCUGCUUUGGAGUGAUGUAGUGUAGGGUUAACUAUGUCUUUCUUGGUCAAGAGCAGCCAAUUUCAAGAAGAGCACAAGACUGAAUUUGGAUAAAUCUUCUGUAUAAAAAGUACAGGGUGGAUAUCAGGAAUAACGAUUACCUAAAUUUGUAAUUUUGUAUCUCUGUUGAAUCAGAGAACUGACUGUUCAGGAAGAGCAGAAAAUGAUAACAGACAAUUUUGUUUAUCAGCCAUUACAUUGUACCAUGGUGUUUGAGAGCACUUUUGAACAAAAGUAGGAAGCCGAUUUUAUAAGG